Molecule: long non-coding RNA, 652 nt
Filed under: Equus asinus (donkey)
Lineage: Eukaryota; Metazoa; Chordata; Mammalia; Perissodactyla; Equidae
Description: lncRNA (ENSEASG00005026045.1)
Source: RNAcentral
CACGCACUCGAAGAGGUUCUGAAUAAAUGGUCCAGAUGCCAGCCCCAGCUAAGCACCCAGCGGACAGCCAGCAUCAGCCAUCAUACGUGUGAGCGAGGAAGCCUUGAAGGUGACUCCAGCCCCAGCCACAUGUGAGUGCAACCCCAGUGAGAACUGUCUCGCUGGCCCCAGUCAACCCCCAAGACUGUGAGAGAUCCUGAGAAAAAUCAGUCAAGAAACUGGGAAAAUGGAAAAAGUAUUAUAAUUUUGCGAUGAUUAAAGCUGAACACUCAACACAGAGAUGUUACCGUUUUGAAAGAAUCCACUGAUACCAAGGGCAGGAAACCUGGAUAUGGGAAUCGAAAGUUAAGCAGAGGAAAAUUGAGACCAGAAAGAUGACGUGAGUCGCUCUAGCCUCGACACUAAUGAGCUCCAGACCUGGGCCAGACUGAGCCCCUCUCCACUUGUGAGUCAGGACUCUUUCCCUCUCUCCCCGCAGCCCCUCUUCAUCCCCAGGUUUGUGUCACUUCAUAAAGACUCAGAGGGAAAGUUCUAAAGCUGGACCCAUGGGACAUUUUAGCUCCUAAUGGGCUUAUUUCCCACAGAGCAUGAGAAAGUUCAUGGAGUUUAUGUGCCAUCUUAAGAUCCCGGGCUUGUUGCCAGCUGGUUCCUA